Long non-coding RNA from Pan troglodytes (chimpanzee), 3525 nucleotides. RefSeq lists it as uncharacterized. NCBI's taxonomy places the organism in Eukaryota, Metazoa, Chordata, Mammalia, Primates, Hominidae. The transcript has 2 exons. The record is from RefSeq and is a predicted model, not a curated record.
CAAAGGGAGGCAGUGGAAGGGCGCCAGGGCCCCACCUCAUGGCCUAGAUGACUCGCCUGACCGCACUGUGGGGGUCCUGCUGAGGAAGCAUAAUGGGGUCUCCAACCCUCCCAUCCCAGAAUGACUCUACUCAUAAGGGAGGAGGUCUGGACACCCCGGUCCUGUGGGUGCCAUCUUGUGGGACCUUAAAUUCACAUGGAGGAGUGACACACAGGUGGGUGGGAGGACAGACCCCACCUCUGGAGGUGCUUCUAGGUCUCUUCCAGGAUGGCCGGGGAGGCGGCCACGCCAUGGGCCUUGGAGGCGAGGGCAGACAUCUUGGCAGCCAGGGUCCGGCUCUCACUCUCCAGCUGUUGGUGCCGUUUCUGCAGCCUCUGGCUGGAGCGCAGGUCCUGCGCUCAGGGGGAAGUGGGCGAGACAUGUGAGCAUCCACCCAUCAUCCACUCUGAGCACUGAUCACCCCUGUCCCUCCUCUUUCCCUACACCUCAUACCCCUCCUGGCCCCCGGCCGAGGCCCAGGCCUCGUGGCAUCAGCCCUAACACUCCCUUCUUGCCAGCAGGAGUUCUGUUAUGAGAUCAAGCAUGGGGACCUGGCCAAGAAGUCCCUGGAGGUCACCGUUUGGGAUUACGACAUUGGAAAAUCCAACGAUUUCAUUGGUUGUGUGGUUCUGGGCAUCCACGCCAAGGGGGAGCGCCUGAAGCACUGGUUUGACUGCCUGAAGAACAAGGACAAGCGCAUCGAGCGCUGGCACACGCUCACCAGCGAGCUCCCAGGGGCCGUGCUCAGCGACAGACGCCCACCCACCACUGCUACCCCUGCCGCCACCUGCGCCCAGCACGGCCGGCCCCGGGCAUCCCCAGCAGCCACCAAGGCCUGUGGCCCCCACACUGGGGGAGAUCCAGAACCCCUGCUUGGACACAGAGCCACUGCAGUCCCCGAUCGGAGGACGUGGAGGGCUCAGCCACUCUGGGACGGGGAGGGCAAGGAGCUGGGGUGGGGGGCUCUCAGCCCUCUGGGGCCCAAGAGGCUGGUGGUGGAAAGAGACCUCAGCACCUGCCCAGGGGAAGGGGACACGCCCAUCUGGGAGCAAAGACCCUUCUAGAGGCCAGCCCUGGCUGAGAGGACAGGAGUGUGGGGGCACCUUGGCGGACAGUGGGAACGGAGGAGGGAGGUGGUGAGCAGACAGACAGGUGGAGGAUGGGACCUUGAAGACUGGCUGCUCCAGCCCAAGAAAGCCUGACUGCAUCCCUCAUCUCUUUCGCUGCUGGGCAGAUGGAAGAAGUGGGCCUGCAAGCCGAAAGUCUGCCAGAGUUCCCGGAGGCUCCUGAUGACGGGUAAAUUGGCACAUGCUUCACUCAAUGAUUCCACAAGCCCUGGGGGUGAAUGAGACACAGGGCCUGCCCUCAGGGAGUUCCCAUCUAGUCAGGAAGCCGGAACAAACCAUUCCAACUGGGGUGAGAAAUACCAAGACCAGCUUGACCAGUCUGCAAGUACCGUGGGCUCUGCUGACUCUGCCGGGAGGUCAGGGAAGGCUUCCUGGAGGAGGCGGUGCUUCCGUAAGGCCUUGGAGGGUGAGUGGGGGCUUCUAAAAGCAGUCCAGGCAGUGGGAGUGGUCUAAAACGGCCUGGAGAGAGAAAGCCAAUGGGGCCGGGGUGCUGUGGACCCGGGGUCUCCUCUCCAGGGGAGGGUUUGUUAGGAAGGUGUGAGGCUCGAGGCAGGAGGUGGGGGACGUGAUGGAAACACCAUGGAGAAACUGGUGUAGGCUCAAGUUCAGACCUCAGACCCAAGUCUCCCACUCUGAUCUCUUUCUACUCCUGAGGGACCUCAAGGACGGAGCCCGCCCCUCCUCCUUCCCGGCAUAAGCAUCAGGUCAGCUGCGGUGGAGAAAAGGGUCUCUUGUGCUUGGAAAAAAAGCAAGCAUUCCUACACGUCCUGACUCUGCCCUUUCCCCUCCCCUCCACUCCCUGGCUCACACUGGGGGCCUCCGGGUGCUUGCUCGUGGCAUCUUGGUCCCGCUACCGCCACAGAUGUCCCUUUUGGGAGUAAUCAGUGGCAGUCCAGGGCCGUGUCUCUGGGGAGGCCUGUGGGGCCAGCUCCACCCUCCAGGAGCUGAGCAAGAAUCACCCUGGCUGGUGGGCCUGUCUGCUCCCCUGAGUCAGACUCCCCAGGAGGCUUGAGAGUAUCUGAAUCUUGGGGCCCAUGCCUGAAGCCCACAAACUUUCUCUGCCUACCAAGGGCCCCUCAGGAACGCUGGGUGAACAAAUGCAGAGCCAAGGAGUUGCACAGCCAGAGUCCCAGUGUGCUCAGCCCAUCAGUGUGUGAUGGAAACAGAGGCCCAGAGAGGUCAGGUGACCUGACCAGGGCCUUCCAGCCCCACACAUCAGGCCUUUCCCAGGUUGCAGGGAAAACAGGACCCCAGCCCCUACACAGUCCCUGGCUACCUGCUGCUCAUGGAGACUUGUCUCCCCAUCUUUAGGAAGGGUUUUUAUGUGAAGGUUUUUGCAUGCACUGGUCUGAACGCAUGUUCACAGCCCUGCAAGGUGGGUUUGAUUCUCAUCCCCAUCUUGCAGGUGAAACAGGUUCCCAGAGUCUGAGUAGUUUGCCAAGGCCACACAGCCAGGAAGGGGUGAACCAGGACUCAAACCCAGGUCCUCUGACUGCCACUUUCUCUCUCUGGGGGUCGGUACCCCCAGUCCCUUCCCUCCUGGUCUGUCGGAGACUCAGCAGAGACACCAGGUGAAGGCUCAGUAAGCUCAGGUGCAUGAUGGAGACCUGGGGUCUUGUCACUGUCCUGCCACCUCAUCCGCUGGCUUUGAAACCAUCCAUGCUACUUCAGGCUUCCCCAGAGGUGUCUAACCUGGCCCCCAAACUCAGCCACCCCACCCUAGCCUCUGGGGGCUGAGGCAAGGGUUCCUCUUUUCUCCACACAGAAUGGGCACCCUCUGGGGGCCUAAGGUAAGAGGUGGUCUAUUUCUAAAAGGCCUGGUGUCUAGUUAAGCUCUGGGUAUCUUCUUAGCUUUGCUUUUUUGGGGGUCUCAUUCAGAGAGGAGAUUUGACAGCCUCUCUGAAGACACAGAAGUGAAUGGCAAAGCGAGAAGAGGCUGUAUCCCCCACCUACCACGACUUCCUUAUUAGGCACAUGGGGAAUAAGGGGCCUGAAGGGGCACAGCUGGGACAAGAACCCAGAACUCCAGCCCCCCAGUCCAGGGCUCUCUACUGCCCAGGCUGUGCAAAUGGGGCUGGGACCGAAAGAUGGGGACAGUCAGGCUGGGAGGCAGGCUUACUGGCCAGCCAGCCCAGGGGCAGCACGGGCACUCGGGCAGGAACUCCCCAGGAAGUUUGGAAACCUUCCUUUCCUAGGAUCUCAGCACCCUUCUAGAUCCCGUGCAGAUUGUCUUUCUGUUAAAGCGUUUUGAGGCCGGGCACGAUGGCUCACGCCUGUAAUCCCAGCACUUUGGGAGGCCGAGGCUGGCGGAUCACCUGAGGUCGGGAGUUCGAAACCCGCCUGGCCAACACGACGAAAC